RNAcentral lists this ribosomal RNA (468 nucleotides) under uncultured bacterium. RNAcentral's name for it is "partial 16S ribosomal RNA". It matches the Rfam family "Bacterial small subunit ribosomal RNA", at positions 28 to 507 of the family's 1533-position model. The record is from RNAcentral.
GACGAACGCUGGCGGCGUGCUUAACACAUGCAAGUCGAACGGAAAGGCCCUGCUUUUGUGGGGUGCUCGAGUGGCGAACGGGUGAGUAACACGUGAAUAACCUGCCCUUGACUUUGGGAUAACUUCAGGAAACUGGGGCUAAUACCGGAUAGGAGCUCCUGCUGCAUGGUGGGGGUUGGAAAGUUUCGGCGGUUGGGGAUGGACUCGCGGCUUAUCAGCUUGUUGGUGGGGUAGUGGCUUACCAAGGCUUUGACGGGUAGCCGGCCUGAGAGGGUGACCGGCCACAUUGGGACUGAGAUACGGCCCAGACUCCUACGGGAGGCAGCAGUGGGGAAUAUUGCACAAUGGGCGGAAGCCUGAUGCAGCAACGCCGCGUGCGGGAUGACGGCCUUCGGGUUGUAAACCGCUUUCGCCUGUGACGAAGCGUGAGUGACGGUAAUGGGUAAAGAAGCACCGGCUAACUACGUG